AUACUAAAGCGCUAUCUCUCCGUGAACAGUAAAUGUCAAAUUGAUUUACUCAUUUGCCCCUGUUUUUUUCUUAUUUACGGUGCUACCAUUGCAUCCCUCCCUCCCGAGUAAAUUACAGCCUACCCUGCCACUUGUUGAUCUGCUGAGCAACCAUGGCGUGUCGAAAGCUGCGCAGACAGAAAAAGGAGAGAGAGAGAGGUUUUCUUCUCUUCUACCGACCAGCACUGCAUCAGUUUGCCUGACAUGCACAGAAAGAAGAAGAGGGGGACGAGAAGAAGAAGAAGAAGAAGAGGAAUCUGUAGAGAUGUUGCACUAAGUAGUAUACAGUCUAUCGCAGCUUGCAGGAGUGCUAUCAAUUCUUCGUUGUUUAAGCAUUGGCUGAAGAACACCGAGAGUGAAAAUGGGAUUUUACACGGCGUGUGUGAUUAUGAUCUGUUUCUCUAUUGCAUUAAUUAAUUUGUUGUCUUCAUUUUAGUGAUUAGUUCUGCACCUGCCUGGGAUUUAAGUGGACAAACAGAGGAGGGACUGUGUUAUAGUCACUGAGUUCGCGAAGCCCCUGAUUGCCUACUGCAUGCCCUUGACUGGUGGUGGACAAAAGAAAUCUUUGUUUGGGAAUUUAAUUACUGAUACAACUCAGUACAGUAGGAAGGUGACCAAGUGGGAAUUUUUGAUGCCAUGAACAGUGCAAAGAAAAUUUGGUUUAGGUAUGAUGUUUAUGAUGGUUUUUGGGUGCAUUUGACUGCAAAGUUUGAAAUCAGCGUAGUUUCUGUGCCAUAAGAUUGCCACCUUGCUGACUUGAUUGUGUGCCAAAGUGGAGAGGACAAGAAAGCUAAAUUGAAAAUAAAGGUUGUAGAAGAAAUCCUGACAGAAAAAAAAAAGGAAAAAUUAUUGCUCCGUUCUUCUUUUGAGGCUUUAAGGUUUAUCCCAGCUUCUGUAUUUUGGGAAGUUCCUUGGUUUCUGUUUUGUAUCUUUGUAUUCAUUAAUUUAGUAGUGUACUGUUUGAAUAAAUUUGAUAUACAUCAAAAAGAGAGACCAAAGUUUUCUAAUGGUCA
Molecule: long non-coding RNA, 1052 nt
Organism: Rosa rugosa (rugosa rose)
Lineage: Eukaryota; Viridiplantae; Streptophyta; Magnoliopsida; Rosales; Rosaceae
Exons: 3
Source: RefSeq, a predicted model, not a curated record